RNAcentral lists this long non-coding RNA (458 nucleotides) under Capsicum annuum. RNAcentral describes it as "long non-coding RNA (CANN_LNC000507)". The record is from RNAcentral. Lineage: Eukaryota; Viridiplantae; Streptophyta; Magnoliopsida; Solanales; Solanaceae.
UUGGAUUGGGCUCUCCCGUUUGGUUUAUAACAUUGGUGCUUUCAUUGAGAGUCCCAUGCGUGGCGGCCGUGACUCGGAGUGGUGACCUAUGUGCCAGUAGUAGUUGCCUGAACCCGAGGGGUGCUAGCCAUGACCAACUGAGCAUAGCCGUGACCAACGAGGAUCCCGUGACUCGGAGUGGUGGCUUAUGUGCCAGUAGUAGUGGCCUGGACCCGAGGGGUGCCAACCAUGACCAACUGGGCAUAACCGUGACCAACGAGAAACAAACCAUGGCUCCGAAGUGGUGGCCUGUGUGUCAGUAGUGGUGGCCUAGACCCAGGAGGGGUGCCAGCCGUGACCAACGAGGUCGUUGGUUCUCAAGCGGAGGUGAUUGUAAUAAACCAAUGUCCCACAUUUAAAAAAAAGAGAAAUGCUAAGGGGUUUAUAUGCCAAAUGGGUUCUCCCACCUAUUAGACUAG